Arvicanthis niloticus (Nile rat) is the source of this 15187-nucleotide non-coding RNA. The record is from RefSeq and is a predicted model, not a curated record. NCBI's taxonomy places the organism in Eukaryota, Metazoa, Chordata, Mammalia, Rodentia, Muridae.
UGGCUCUUACAGUGCCUGUGGCUGGGUCUGUUCGCUGGACGCCGGCCAGGGAUGCUUCCGCCAGACCGCUGUGAGGGUCUUGGGUUGUGGCAGAGGGAUGGCGAAUGUGCAGGUGGCCGUGAGGGUCCGGCCUCUCAGCAAGCGGGAGACCAAAGAAGGGGGAAGAAUUAUUGUGGAAGUUGAUGACAAAGUUGCAAAAAUCAGGAAUGUAAAGGUGGACAGUCGAUCAGAGAGCUUUGGAGACACCCGGGAGAAGGUUGUGGCAUUUGGUUUUGAUUACUGCUAUUGGUCAGUCAACCCAGAGGACCCUCACUAUGCAUCUCAGGAAGUGGUGUUCCGGGACUUGGGGACUGUAGUACUGUCUGGAGCCGACAAAGGCUACAACAUAUGUCUCUUUGCGUAUGGGCAGACAGGCUCUGGGAAGACGUACACCAUGCUGGGGACUCCAGCCUCUGUUGGGCUAACUCCGAGGAUAUGUGAGGGUCUCUUCAUCAGGGAGGAUGACUGUGCCUCGAUGCCUUAUUCCCGUAGCAUAAAAGUAAGCUUCCUAGAAAUCUACAAUGAACGAGUGAGAGAUCUUCUGAAGCAAUCCAAUCAAAAUAAGUCUUAUACUUUAAGGGUCAGGGAGCAUCCAGAGAUGGGACCCUAUGUCCAAGGUCUGUCUCAGCAUGUUGUUACCAACUAUCAGCAAGUUAUCCAGCUCCUGGAGGAGGGGAUAGCAAACAGGAUAACAGCAGCCACCCAUGUUCAUGAGGCCAGCAGCAGGUCCCACGCCAUCUUCACUAUCCACUACACACAGGCAAUCCUACAGAACAACCUCCCUUCAGAGACUGCCAGCAAGAUCAAUCUUGUGGACCUAGCAGGCAGUGAGAGAGCGGAUCCCAGUGACUGUAAGGACCGGAUUACUGAAGGCGCCAAUAUCAACAAGUCCCUUGUGACUCUGGGAAUUGUAAUCUCCACUUUAGCCCAGAACUCACAAGUGUUCAGCAGCUGCCAGAGCCUCAGUAGUGCAGCCAGCAGUGGGGGUGACAGUGGGAUUCCUAGCACCAUGUCUGGGACCAGCAGCGGAGGGGGACCUACAAGGAGGCAGUCUUACAUCCCGUACCGGGACUCUGUGCUGACCUGGCUGCUGAAGGAGAGCCUUGGAGGCAACUCCAAAACCAUCAUGAUUGCCACUGUGUCCCCUGCACAUACCAGCUACAGUGAGACCAUGAGUACAAUGAGAUACGCAUCCAAUGCCAAAAACAUCAUCAACAAGCCACGGGUGAAUGAGGAUGCGAAUGUGAAGCUAAUCCGAGAACUCAGGGAGGAGAUUGAGAGGUUGAAAGCCAUGCUGCUGAACUUUGAACUGAGGAACUUGAGUUCACUAAAUGAUGAUCCGAGCGAGAGCCUGCAGGAGCUAGUCUUCCAGAAUAAUUUGAAGAUAGAUACACCGACUCAACACUGGACUCAGAAGCAGAGUGACCGGCAGGCACUCAUGGAGCAUUAUGGUGUGGACAUCAACAGGAAGAGGGCCAGGGUGGUCAUUGACUCCAGCCUGCCACACCUGAUGGCUUUGGAGGAUGAUGUGCUCAGCACAGGCGUCGUGCUUUAUCACCUCAAGGAGGGGACAACAAAAAUAGGAAGGAUUGAUUCAGACCAGGAGCAGGAUAUCGUCCUUCAGGGCCAGUGGAUUGAGAGAGACCACUGCACAAUCACUAGCACUUGCGGGGUGGUUAUUCUCCGGCCUAGCCAAGGGGCACGCUGUACAGUCAAUGGUCGUGAGGUCACUGCUUCCUGCCGUUUGACACAAGGAGCUGUCAUAACACUGGGAAAAGCACAGAAAUUCCGGUUUAACCACCCAGCCGAGGCCGCUGUGCUGCGGCACCAGAGGCUCAAGGUUGGAGAGGCUCUUGGCAGCAGUGGCUCUUUGGAAUGGCUGGACUUGGAUGGAGAUGUCAGUGCCUCAAGACUGGGUCUCUGCCCUGUGCUCAGGAAGGAGAGGAGAGUACUGGAAGAGCAGUGUGACAAGGACCAGCAGCCAUCAAGAAAUAUCGAGAUAUAUUACAGAGCUCAGACUGAGCAACAGCAGUGCCAUGUGGAGGCUCUGAAGCAGCAAGCCAAAGAAGGACAGAGUAGAGGCCAGGAGGAGCUAGAACUGGACCAGACACAUAUCCACCGGCAGAUAAAAGACAAUCAGCAGUGGCUACUCAGAGAAGAGACCUGGUUAGCCAGCUUACGAGAGACACAGCAAGAAGCUGACUGUGGAGAAGAGAAAGAACUUGAGGCCUUUGUGGCACCUGAUGCUUGGCUUCCAACAGUUCCUCAGACUCCACCAUCCCCACUGGUCCAAAGCCAGAAGAGGGUGGUGCAGCCCCAGUGCUUGCGGAGACAUACUUCUCGGGCCACAGUGUGGAACAUCAGGCAGAAAAAGUUAUCAUUCCAGCUGGAGAGAAUUAUUAAGAAGCGGAGGCUGCUGGAGGCCCAGAGGAGACUGGAGCAGCUCAGUGCCCUCUUCCGGAUCCAGGAUGAUGGUGCUUCCAAGGCCCCACGUUCUAACACCUCAGGCCCAGGACCUCAGUGGAGAAGCAGAUGGCCAACUUGCUGCUCUCUGAGUCUCCAAAGGCUCGGCAGCCAACGCCUGCCCCAGCUACACAGUGCUUUCAUGAACUGGGAUCCUUCUGCCAUGUCACCACCUGUGCCUGACCUGACUCACCAAAUGCCAAAGAAAACCCUGUCAACAGAUGCCAUUCGACAGGCUACAGCUUGUCCUCCACAGACAGGACACCUGGGCAGGAACAGCCUCCAUUCAUCACGGUGGAGGAAGUUCUCUCCAGCCAGGAGAGCUUCUACCCAAGGCACCUGUCGCACUGUGAGCCACAAAUUUGUCAGCAGCCAAGAAAUUGAGUUAUUGGGUAAGCAGCUCUGUCAGAUGUCAUCCCAGGGCCAACCAACUAAGAAACAAAAACCAAGGGAUGGUUCAAGGACCUUUACCCCUGCUGCUCAGACCAGAAGGGCUAAGGGACUAGUAGCCUCUGUCAACACACAAACGGGAUGGCAAAAAGGAGGAAGCUGUAGGAGCUGCGAGGCUCCUGAGGAAACAUCUUCCCGUUCUACAGAUCGCAGUGGAUCAGAGCCAGCAGCUGGGCAUAGAAAAGUAGUCAAGACUUUUCAGGCAGAAUUCAAACCACCUCCUCCAAGCAGGGCAUCAAAAAAGCAUCCGAGGCUGCUGGCAGCCAGGGCCAGGGACAUUGCCAAAAAGUCCUCUCGUUUGCCUCGUGGCAGUUCUUUAAAAAAACAACCUAUUGCAGGGGAUCCAGACACACCAGCCUCCUUCACAGAUUCUAGACCUAUAAAGGACCAUGUAAGGGAAGAGAACAAAGAUUUAUCUGACACUGAAAGCAGUUACUCGGUGGAUUCUCUUUCUUAUAUCUAUGCCAAAGUCCCAAAGAAGCUGCUGAAGCCAGAGGACCGUCAGGGAAAAUGGGAUCUUCCCGAUCCAGAGAACUCUGAAAGUGACAACAGUCAAAUAUCUGAGGAUUCACUUGCUGGGAAAGGGCACCAAAGCCUCCCAGAAAACUCUAGAGCUGAAUAUUCCAUGAAGGACCAUGGGCAUUCAAGGGCCAGAACUUCAGCCUCUGUGCGGGGUCUCCCCAUGCCCUCAGACAGUAGGGUAUGUACUCCAAUGUACAGGAGCUUUUCCUUGGACAGCCUGACUGAUCCUGAAAAUAGGCAAGGGGAGUCUUUUCUUGGUUCUGCUGACGAGAUGCCUACAGAGACUUUUUGGCAUCUGCAGAAGGCUACCCUAUCUGCAUCAGACCAGGAGGCAACAGACAGGCCUAGCCCUAUCAACCACAGAAUGGGAGUCGGGGUGAAUGUUCUGCCAAAAAGCAAUUCAUUUUACCUUGAUCCUCAGUUCCAGCCCCAUUGUGAGCAGCUUGAGUCAGAAAUGGAGGCAAGCUAUUCUGAACAAACCAACCCUCUCCGAGGCAUUCAACUUGCAAGAGAGAGCCCCCUGUUAUCUGUGGAUUCAUGGUUUUCUUGUGACUCUAAGAUCAAUCCCAGCAGCCCCUCAGGGGUCAUUCAUUCUUUAUGUCCAAGUCCUGACAUACAUGAAAUUCAGCCCCAUGGUGAGAAGCCCAAACACUGGCUAAAUAUUGAAGAAGUAAAGCCACCAGUUACCUGCAAACUUCCCCAAAGCAGUACUGAGCCACCCUGCAGUUCAGAUUUGUAUGCAGCCUCUACUUCUGAUACAUCUAAGCCCUCAGUUUGUGAAAGCCAAAGAUUCCUUCAGCCAGGAGUUGAUGGAUUCCUUCAGGGCAGAGAAAUGCCUGACAUGACCAACCAGGGUAUCUCUGAAGAGUCCCACAUUUCUGAUAUGUCAAGUGUGCUGGCUCCCUCUACCACCUCGUUCACUCAUGUACAUAGUCUUAAUAAGAAGGACUGGGCUGCCCUUCAUCAAGAAUAUCUCCUUGAGCUCUCUGAUUCUGUUUUUCAAGCUGUAGGAGAGCCCAGGCCAGCUUUCCCCUUCCUGGAGGAAGACUCUAGCUCCCUGGCUGAUGCUUCUGAUAAAGUAGACACUCAGUUGCGAACUGGCCCUGGGUUAUCUAGAAAUUUAGAUUUCAGCUCCUUUCCAGUCCACCUGUCCAAAAUCAGACACUUAAGAGCAGAGAGAGACCAUGACAGUCUGAGUGCCAAUGUAGAAAGUGCUUCUGAUCUCUUCAGCUCUGUUGAGAGGAUGAGUUAUAAUGGGGCAUACCCAGCAGAUGUAGAGUCACGGACUUCUGGAUCUAUAAAUGCACAGGCCUAUACAGCAGGAAAUGUGAUACCAGGUUCCAUGACAGAAGCAUGGGAAGUCAGUCAGGCCAGCUUGGAAGGAUGCCUUCAGGGUGGCAGACAUUCUGCGCUGAUAACUUCCUCUGGGCAGUAUUUCUUCCAGAAGAGGGCUUAUCGCAAUCAUGACACCUUAGCCACUGAAGUAGACUUUUUACCUCAAGAUGGGGCUCUUCUCAGGAAAAAUACUGCAGUUCAACCAGGACUAUUAAAUCACAGCAGCCACCAGCACCCCCUUCUGGAAGAGAAGGCAACUUCUCAGCAGUGCACUGAGGAAGUAGCUGAAACACACAUAGAUGCCUGUUGCACUUUCCCUUCAGGUCCAGACCUGUUCCUGCACUCUGACCCCUGGAGCUCUUUCCCAUCCUCCCUGCAGCCGCCUCCCCUGGAAACAUUCUAUGUAACCAAAAGCAGGGAUGCCCUGACAGAAACUGCCUUAGAGAUUCCAGCCUGCAGGGAAGCCUGGGUGCCAUCCCCACCCCCUAGGGAAGCCUGGGGCUUUGGUCAUAGCCAUCAAGUCCCCCAGAAAGCUCACUGGAAAAAUAAUUUGCCCAAGUUGUCCCAAAGUCAGAAUUCUAAGAUUGAUUUACCUCAGCAGGCAACAACAAUGAGACCAACAGAUAUGAACACAGGGGAAGGUACUGAAGAACUGGGGAAACACUCCAGAAAUAUGAAAGAGGAAGAAAAUCACGAUUCUGCUUACUGUUUUGUUGCUCAGAACAGGCAGCAUCUCUCUUCUACCAGACUCAAAGCUUGUGAAUGUGGAAAUCAACUUGGAAUUUUAAAUAAGGAGUACAGCCUCUCAGUUCACGAGGAUGGAGAAGGGGCCUCCGCGUGGCAUCACUGCAGUGUUGCCUUCAAUGGCUCUGAGUCAAAGACUUUGCUCUUCAUUUGUGAUUCCAAGGCAAGUGGGGAAGAACAGAGUCCCCUCCUGCCACAGAUACAGUCCUGCCACAGAUACAGUCAGUCUCCUUUUGGAGCUAGGUCUGACUUCAUUGGCAAAAUCUCCAAUUUAGACUUGGAGAAGGUCAUACCAGAGGAAACUGCUGUUUCCUUGAAAUCAAGAUCACUCCACUGUCUAAGUAGCCCUGUGAUCAUGGCAGGAGGUGGAAGUCCUACCCACAGGUGGGAGGGGAGGAAUGAAACUAUGCUUCUCAGAGAAGUGAUUUCCAAAGAUAUCCAAGAAGAGUUUAGUCUUCCAGGAACCCAGUAUACCUGUGAAAGAUGCCAUCUAGUUAUGUGCUCUCAGGAAAGAAAGCCCACUGAAUGCAAGGCCCAUGGGCAGUUACAAGAAAUACAGUCCAAAGAAGAACCUUUGGGAGAGAAACAGAAUAAAAGAGUUAAUAAUACCGAUGAAAUGGCUAGGCUGAUCAGGAGUGUAAUUCAGCUGGAAACUGGCAUCUUAGAAAUUGAAUCCAAGCAGAAUAAGCUUCUUCAUGCUUCCCUCACACCAAGUACAGAGCUUAUGCUCCAGGACUUAGAAGACCAGGAGAAGGCUGACCAUGUCCCCAAGCCAGAAAGUUCUGGAAAACAUUUAUGCUUUGAGGAUCAACCAUCUUUUCCAAAACAGAUAGAGGACGGUAUCUUUGAAGACAGCAAAGCUGGAGAAAUAGAGGGCAACACUGCAGUUAGUAAUAAUACUCAGGUUCAGAAAAUUAUAGGAAGCCCCUUCAGAUCAAGGGAAUGUGUACAAACAAGGGGGUCUGAGAGUGAGCACUCAUACUCACCUGGAGCAGACAGACUUGCUAGGGACACACACAAUUCUUUGGGGAAAGGCACAGCUCUCAGAAAGCCUAGCAACAUUUCCCUUCACUCUAGGAGAAUGAAAGCAUUAGCUAGAGCUCUACCAUUGCAGCCCAGUGUGGAGAGAUCUGAGAAAGAUGAUGAACUUCUAAAAGAAUCAGCAAAAUUCCACAACCAUUGGGCCUUGGAAAGUCUUGAGGAACUGGAGAGUAUGGAAAGUUUUCAGAAAAGCCAGAUUGUUGAAGUUCCAAGUGAUACAGAAUUGGAGGAUGCAAAAACUCAAGGGGGAGUUGAUGAAAUGACCGUGGACAGGGGAGAGAACCUACAGGAAAAAGAGAACAUGGUCUCAUCAACUCAGAAAAUUUCUGCUCCCAGCCAGCACUGGAAGGGCACAUUUUUCAGCCAGGAGGCUGUCUCCCCAUUCCAUACCCAGACAGGCUUCUCUGAAGGUCUUCCUUAUGAAGAGCUGUGUGGUACCCAACCUGUGCAUUCUAUAUACUUCCCAAGAAGCUGUUUGCAUGGCUCUGAUACCAAAGGUGUCUCUUCAUUUGAGUAUAUAUUAGAACCUGUGAUGUUGAAAACUAAUAGAAAUUCUUUGGCAACUGGAGUAGGGGAUCAGGAUCACAGUGGAGAAACCAGAAGCAGUAGCCCACAGGAAAGUGUUUCAGGGGAUGUUUCCACCACACACACUCCCUGGGGUGGAUCUGUAACGCCCAUGGUCAUGAGAACUAAUGGUCAGUCUGUUACAUCAGAUGGCAUUCUCCUAGAGACAGAGGACUGUAUAACAGUAAGCACCAGCUCCCAAGAAGACCAGGAAGGGGGCUUCAGAGAUACUCCCACAGGCUCGACUACCCAGGAAGGUUUGGGUUCUGAGGCUGAGGCAACUGUACAAAAAGAAAGAAAAACCAGUUCCUUGGACAGGGUCUCAAGGCAGACUGAAAAGAGAGUCAAUUUCCUCUUACAAAAAAAUAGAGACCAGGGUGAAGAGGAAAGGCAGAAGGCAGAGGAGAAGUUAGAAGACCAACAACUUCCUGAGUCUGUUUCCUUAACACCGGUGUCUGUACUGAAGGGACCUGAUCCAGAGCCUCUGCUCCUACCAGACUCCUCUAUCCAUGCAUCCAUAUGCCUGGGUAUCUUGGCAGAGAUCAGACAGGCAAAAGCACAGAGGAAGCAGCUUAAUGACGUUGUGGCUGAGGGAACAGUCCUUCCUUAUGAAGCAUCACAAGAAGCUGAGUGUUUUUCAGAGGCUGCUGGUAGAUCUCAGACACAAAAGUUUGAGUGGAAUAGUACCACGAAUGAUGCUAAAGCAAAAGGAUUGCAUGUGGCAUCUCCAUCUGCUGUGUCUGCAGACCUCUUCACUGAUGAGAGGAAACCCCAGGCCAGUGCAGGGAGCUUUCAUCAUCUGCCCAAUCCUGAAACUGACAGAGGACCACAGCAUCAUUUGCUGGCUUCCUCUCACACUGUUUCAGAGCUAGAAAAAAGAUAUUGCACUGGAAAACCAAGACAAUUUUGUGGAGCAAGUGGAUGGUCUGAUUGUUCUGAAGUCAUAGAGAAGAGGAAAGCAACAUCUAGAACAAAGUCCUCAGACAGGCUUCUUCCUAUACCAGCUGUAGAGCAGGAUGGGAGGGUGCGAUCAGAGAAAGCGUCUGUCUUACCUUCUCAAACUUCUUGUGAUAGUCCUGGCAGGACUCUGCACAUGCAGAGUCAGUUGCCUGCAUGGGAGACUACAGAAGGUAUAUCCUUUGGUGGGAAGGACAGCAUCCUGGGUCAUCAGGAACCUAGAAGUCUAGAUAGCACAUGUGGAGGUGGCUCAGGUAAGAGCUUAGUGACCACACAGGCAGGAAAAGCAGUCCAGUCUGAGUGUCAGUCUGUUAUCUGUACUGUUGAUAAUGCUGUAGACCUUUCUCAGCCUAAGCAAGACCGUAUUCAGUGCUUGGAUGCUUCUACUGGCUUAGAAGAAAUGAAGGCAAGUCCAAAGUCAUGUGCUGUUCAGCCUGGAGCUCCAAGAAAGGUUGAAGCAGAAGCUAACAUAUGGCAUCCUGUCAAGUGGAAAACUGUUGACUCUGGUCUGGCAGAAGCCUGUGGGGGUGACAGCAAAAAUCCAUGGUCAACUCCAUUUCUAAAUCAAAGACCAAGCCUGAAUUCCAGUGGAGUUAGAGAAGAGGCUCACGGUCCAUGCCCAGAAGAGUGCCUUGUCUUCAAGGGGAACACUGGAGGCAGCAGGCCACUUGGCUCAUCUUAUGAGGAGGAAGAGAACAGAACUAUUCCUUGCCCUCACCUAAGUGGUUCUCAGCCUACUGCUGCUGUUCAUGCCUGUUGCUCUCAUACCUCUACUCCGCCAUGUUAUAGAGAUGGUGUCCUUAGGAAGGGAACCCCCUGGGCUGCCCCACAUUCUGACCACUCACCUUUCAUAGUACCAUCUAGGGUAUGUGAAGUGGAUGGAGCAGGAAAGAGCUUUUCCAAAGACUCUCAAGUGUCUUUGGCACAUGGCCCUAAGCACACAUGUGGGCCAGUAGACAAUAGCAUUCCUAACCCACCCAUUACAGCUCCUGUCUCCUCUCCAGCUCAAAGCUGCAGCUGCCUUUCCACCUCAGAAAUGAGGGCAAAUUGCCUCACCCACACAAUUGCUAGGGGAAGGUCAGUGGAAGGUUCUGGGGAAGAGACUACAGGGAAGGCCAGCACUGCCCCUGAGGAUGCUUAUCCAUCCAGUUCUGCAGGCGUGAGCUCUGAGCCACUGAGAACUUUGAAGAAUAACUCUGUAGGUGAGAAUGCACAGGCAUCCCAAACCAUGUCGGAACCUCCUGCAGUGACUUGGGGACCACAUACCCUAAAUUCAAAUGAAGAAUCUAUUGACAGUAAGCUGGUGAUAGCAGCUCAGUUUGGACAUUUAGAAAAUACUAUCAGAUGCUGUUCAGAAAAGAUGCAAUCUUCCACUAAGGUCAGGGGUCACAGUUGCUUGGGUCCUCAAGCCAAAUUUGUAGACAUGUUGAAACAUACCUGCUACCCUCAGAUUGAGACUUCAUGGGAAGAGGAAGAACAACAGAGAGACCAGGUCUCAGGAGAUGGCAAAAACCAUUCCCAGGUCAGAAAUCUAGUACUUUCUAACGUUGGUGGCUUUGAUGGCUGUCAGACUAGAGAUGGUGAAAGAGAGGAGAUAGUUGUAACCAAGCCUUCUGUAUCCCAGACUUUGUUUUCAGACUUUGAAGCCCAAACUGAACCAUCACAGUCCUCUGCCCAGACUCCUUGCCAACUUUGCUCUGAUAGGGAACAGCUGCCUCCCAGCCACAGGAACUUGCUUCCUGUGAUUGCAAUCUUCUCUGGCCCCAAACAUGCCAGGGACUCCCCUAGACCUCAGUUUACUGUGGUCAGCUCAUCUCGGUCUCUUCAAGAACUAAAUUUGAGUGUGGAACCUUCUUCCCCAACAGAUGAAGAUGCACAGGGGCCAACCAGCUUGUGGAGACCACAUCUCAGAGGUCAUUCCUCUGAAAAGCCAGUCUCAGCAUCUCUGAAGCCUCAGGAUUGCAGUCAGAGAGCUUUGUGUAACUUGAACAAUAGCUCUUCUGAUCACAGGCCCUUGAACCCUGUCAUACCUCCUUACCCAACGUCUUCCACUGUUUCAUGUAUGCCAACCCCUGAGUUCAUGACCACCUGGAAGCCUGGUGCUUUGGAACAGGCCCAUCAAGGAAAGACAGAUAAACUGAGUGUCCAGGGUAUGUCAGAGAAUUGGCAUUCUCGGGGGGACAAAGAAAUGCUGCACUUUGGUUCUAGUGAAUUAAGUUCCUCUGUCCUGCCCUCAUGUCCACAGGGACCUGUGCAUAUUGGUUGGAAGCAAUAUGUGUUUGGAACUGCAGUUGAUGUCUCUUGUAGCCAGAAACCCCAAUUUCUAAUACAAUCAAACAUGGCUCAGUGUUCUAGCAUGGACAAUGUUGUAGAAGACAAGAAAUCUCCAUUUCACUCUUAUCCCAAGACUGAUGCCCAAACCCAGGAUUUGCCAAACAUACACAGUGACAUUGAGAAUGACCAAAGUUCAAAUCAGCUGCCUCUGGCUAGAGGGAAUGCCACAGCUCAGGUAGAUGAGAUUGUACUACUCUGCCCACCAGAGACAGGCUGUGCUGUGGGGCAGGCCAGUAUGAAUACCUUUAAGCAGGGAACACAGACCCUGGGCAGCAAGCUCCAUCGGAGUUGCACUGAUGUCUCUCUUCAGCCUGAUGCCAGGACAAUGUCAGACUCUGAGCUAGCCUCCUGGACCAGCAUGCACAACCUGUCUGUCCACCUUUCACAGCUUCUGCACAGUACUUCAGAGCUGCUUGGGAGUCUCUCACAGCCAAGUGUGGUCAUAAAGGAACAGAAUGUCAAGAGUGAAUCCCUAGAUGAGGCCCAACAGGCCCUCAUGAUGGAUGGUUGUACUCGGACCACUGUGGAUGAGGGCAUCCAGACAGACCUGGCCUUACCUCCUUUGGCCUUCCAGGGUCCAGAGGUCAAGUCUGAGGAAGUCAGUGUGAUCCUUGAAGUGAUGGACUCAGGUAUUACCACUGUGGCUCAAGAAAAGGAAAAUGUCCCAGUGGUGGUUCAGAAGAGAGAGGCAGAGGAAGCCGCAGAACCCCCAGAUCUCCAUGAAGGAAGCACCCAUGAUAAGCUGCAGCGCCCUCCUGUGCCCUCACCACACUUGAGGUUUCAGAAAGCUGAUCUUGGGCAGAACUUUACUUUCAUGAGGCCCCCAGCUUCUCCUUGUGGUUCCCCACCUCCUAGUCUGCAGCCAGAGGAAGCUUGCAUGGUAGUCAACAUGCCCAGAAUCUCCCACCACUCAGGGCUCUCCCUUGGUGCUUCUGAGUUCACCCAGGAGCCUAGUACCCAGAAAAGAUUGUGUGGCUCGAGUGCUGUGCUGGUGGAUAGGGCUUCCUCUCCAAUCCUUACAUUUAGUGCCAGCAUCCAGGAGCUGAACAAGCCUGUAACCUGUUUGACUCUGUCAGUUCCCUCAGCUCAUCCUCUUGAAGUCUUCCAGAAGCAUGACAUCAAUCCAGACCUGGCUGUUUGUGACCUAAGACCUUCAAUGGAUAAUUCUCAAGCCACUGAUGAUUCUGGUGUCUCUCAGAUAGCUGAGUCUUUGGAAGGCAAGAGCCUCUUAGGAAAAAGUUCUGAGAGAUUAGUUCUUGAUUCUAGCUCCCUGUGCAGCCCACAGCAUAGUUCUAGUCUCCAAGUUAGUUUCUUAGGAAAGGCCCCUCAGCAGCUUCAGCCCAAGAGCACCACUGGAGACCAAAGCAAGUCACCAUCUCCACCACCAAGGCACAGGAGCCCGAAGCUAGAUGACAGCUUUGUGUCUGAGAAGGUGGCUUCCAUAGAGCAUGGUCCACCGAGGCCCAGUGAGUGGCAGGGCAGGGCAGCAAAUAAGGGUGGGAGCUCCGAGUUUAUACUGGAGCCACAACCCAAUGCGGAUCGACCUUCUUCACAGACGGGUCUUCAGCCCCUUAGCCCUUGUCAGAUCUCUGAUACUACACGACUUCAAAGUCCUGCUGUAGACCCACCUCAGGCCUGCCAACCAGUGGGGCUGCUCUCUCCUGGUUUAUAUAUGCAUGUGGCCCCUGAUCCCCAGCAUCACAGCCUUGGGCACCUCCCAGUUCAUAACAAUUUAAAUAACUGGUAUAGAGUUCAGGAUGGCCCUUGCGGAGGUCUGCAUGUAGGUGAGAGUUUAGGGGUCAGAUGUGACUCCAGUUCUGUGGGGACACAAAGGCCCCUGCAACUUUCUGACAAGUACAGCCAGGACUCUGAGUGGCUUCGAUUGGAGCACAUCCCCUUACAAGCUGGGGUUCAGAAGCCCUCACUCAGUGUGGAACUCACAGAAGCAAAACUACACCAUGGCUUUGGGGAGACAGAUGCCCUGUUGAAGGUGCUGCAGAGUGAGACAGGGGAGGUGCUUGCUCCUGAAGAGCCUGCUGUGCCCUCCUGUAAGGAGUUCUACACUAGGCAGAAAAAAACUAUUGAGAUCCUCAGGAGAGAGAGGACUGAGCGACUUCAUAACUUUCGUCGGACACGAAGCCUCAGUCCCCAGAAACAACUAGGCUUCCUGCCUAGCAAGGAUCUCCCCACCUGGGAACUUGACUUGCCCAGCAGACGCCAAGAAUACCUGCAGCUGCUGAGAAAGCAUGUUGUGGAGACCACUAGAAUCCCAGAACCAGCACCAAGAGUAGCCCACCCUUCCUCUGACAUUGAGCUCAUGCUUCAAGAGUAUCAUCAGGCCCGUGAAGAGGCCAAGGUGGAGAUUGCCCAGGCUCGAGAUCGGCUCAAAGAGCGGACUGAACAAGAAAAGAAGAGAAUCCGCCAGCAGAUCAUCUCCCAGCUACUGAAGGAAGAGGAAAAACUACGGACUCUAGCCAACUCCAGCUCUCUGUACACCAGCUCCAAUGGAAGCAUAUCUUCUGGUGUCACGUCUGGUUACAACAGCAGCUUAGCCUUCUCAGGGCACCUCCAGUCCCUAGAAGUUUCGGUAAGUGGGACUCUCAAGUGCCAAAUUCCCAAGAUACUUGGAUAGGGGACUGGCAGGGCCAGUCCACAGUGAGGAACAGUUACCUGUAUUUGACUGGGUCUUCCUGGAAGAGCUUAGCACACAGCCGCAGAGCCUCGAUGGGCAGUGGCUGCUGCUCUCUCUCCAGCCUAUCCAGCUUGGGGACCUGCUUCUCCUCUUUCUAUCAGGACUUAGCCAAACACAUUGUCAAUACAUCAAUGGCUGAUGUAAUGGCUGCUUGUUCGGAUAAUCUCCACAACCUCUUCAUCUGCCGGGCAGCCGAUGGCUGGACCUAUCAGGGUGAGGAGCAAGAGGUACAGCUUUACUACAAGGAGUUCUCUUCUACUCGACAUGGAUUCUUGGGUGCAGGUGUGGUGUUCAAGCCACUCUCUCAAGUAUGGGCAGCUGUGAGUGAUCCUACUUUGUGGCCUCUGUAUCACAAGCCCAUCCAGACAGCAAGGCUACAUCAGCGAGUGACCAGCAGUAUCAGCCUAGUGUACUUGGUGUGCAAUACCACACUGUGUGCGCUGAAGCAGCUGCGAGAUUUCUGCUGUGUCUGCGUGGAAGCCAAAGAGGGGCAUCUAUCAAUCAUGGCAGCUCAGUCUGUGUAUGAUGCAUCCAUGCCAAGACCUAGCAGAAAAAUGGUCCGAGGAGAGAUCCUGCCCAGUGCUUGGGUCCUGCAGCCUGUCAUCAUGGAGGGGAAAGAAAUAACCAGAGUCAUCUUCCUUGUCCAGGUGGAGCUGGGUGCACCAGGCUUCCCUCCCCAUCUUCUGAACUCUGUUAUCAAACAGCAGCCGUUGGUUGUGGCCAAGCUGGCAUCUUUCCUUCGUAGUUAGUAUUGGGCCAUGGAGACAACAAUGCUGAGAUGUAGCCCCAGGACACCUGAGACUCUAUAGCUGCUUCUAGACCCUGAGGCAAGAAGAGCCCGGGCUGCCUGUGGAAGCCAACUAUACAGAUGGCACCAGCCCAGGGUUGCCAGCAAAACCAGUACUUAGUACUUGGUUACCUCCGAAGAGUGAGCAACCUGAAGCUCCUAGCCCUAGCUGUCCGAAGAUGAGAUCAAGUUACCUUCAGGAUUUCUCACCUUUAUUUCCUGCCUCUGGGACUCAGUGUCACACCAAGUGUUCAAAGACUGGAAAAGCACAGCCUGCCCAGCUGGAGCCUGCAGUGCUUUGGCAAGCUGCCUCCUUGGUGGGCAGGCACUGGCCAAAGGUGCUCUGGAUCUGCCUCCAAAAUUCAGCUCCAUUUUAUGAUGGAGUGGCGGAAAGGGCCAAACCAUACAGUUUAAAGAAUCAUCUGCAUAAACCAGAUCCUGAUUCAGAAUUUUCUCUCAUUGAACAUUUACAAACAUUUUACUAUUCAUAUUACUCUCCCCCACUGUGUGUCACUGUGUAUCACUGGUACAGUCUACCUUAUAAGCUCAGUACAAUGGGAGACCACUGAAGAGACAGGGUGCAGGGCCUGAAGACAAAUAGUAAGUAGGGACAGCUCCAUGCUGCCUGCAAACAAGUUAAAAGAGACUUCAAGCAGAUUGUCGAGGAUUAAGUUAGCAAGGAUUAAGUCAAGACCUUGUGCUAACAAAUUACACCUCAAGUUCCCAAAUGCUGGGAUUAUAAACCCACCACACCCAGCAGCCACUUCUUUGUACAUAGUAGGCUGUGGUGGCACAUAGCUACAGCACUCUGGUAGUAGAAGCAGGUGGACCAGAAGAUCAUCCUCAGAUGGCCAGCCUGUGAUACAUUAGACGCUGUCUUAAACUCAGUACUUAAAAGAUGGUCAACAGUUAUUUUUGUUGCUUAACUGUUUUAAUAUGGUAGGAUAGAAAAGGGGUUGGUUUUUGUUGGUUUUUGGAUCUUGGCCUGAUUGAACAUUCUGACAAUUUUCCAUAUUGAUUCAGAAAUGGUAGGGAUAAGGAAUUUCCUUUAUAUCUGUCACUCCAAAUCUUGAUGGAAGAAGGUUCUCUUAGGAGUUAAGACUGGUUAAAGGGUAAAUUUCUUUGCAAAAUUUUUUUCUAUUCUUUUAGAGUAUUUAUAUAUUACCAAUUGAAUGUUUUAAAAUUUGCUUUAUCUUUAUAUUUUUUGGCAAUACUUGAUAAUGCAGUGUUAUAUAUAUGCCUACCAAUUUCCUCCCCGC